Molecule: ribosomal RNA, 377 nt
Filed under: Staphylococcus aureus
Lineage: Bacteria; Bacillati; Bacillota; Bacilli; Caryophanales; Staphylococcaceae
Description: partial 23S ribosomal RNA
Rfam family: Bacterial large subunit ribosomal RNA
Source: RNAcentral
GUGGCGUUGCCCAGACAACUAGGAUGUUGGCUUAGAAGCAGCCAUCAUUUAAAGAGUGCGUAAUAGCUCACUAGUCGAGUGACACUGCGCCGAAAAUGUACCGGGGCUAAACAUAUUACCGAAGCUGUGGAUUGUCCUUUGGACAAUGGUAGGAGAGCGUUCUAAGGGCGUUGAAGCAUGAUCGUAAGAACAUGUGGAGCGCUUAGAAGUGAGAAUGCCGGUGUGAGUAGCGAAAGACGGGUGAGAAUCCCGUCCACCGAUUGACUAAGGUUUCCAGAGGAAGGCUCGUCCGCUCUGGGUUAGUCGGGUCCUAAGCUGAGGCCGACAGGCGUAGGCGAUGGAUAACAGGUUGAUAUUCCUGUACCACCUAUAAUCGU